RNAcentral lists this ribosomal RNA (253 nucleotides) under uncultured prokaryote. Its description in RNAcentral is "partial 16S ribosomal RNA". It matches the Rfam family "Bacterial small subunit ribosomal RNA", at positions 524 to 776 of the family's 1533-position model. The record is from RNAcentral.
UACGAGGGGUGCAAGCGUUGCUCGGAAUUAUUGGGCGUAAAGGGUAGGUGGGUGGUCUCAUUUGUCUGGGGUGAAAGCCUUGAGCUUAACUCAAGAAGUGCCCUAGAAACGGUGAGACUGGAGUACUGGAGAGGGUCGUGGAAUUCCUGGUGUAGCGGUGAAAUGCGCAGAUAUCAGGAGGAACACCAAUGGCGAAGGCAGCUCGCUGGGACGGUACUGACACUGAGACGCGAAAGCGUGGGGAGCAAACAGG